RNAcentral lists this long non-coding RNA (1912 nucleotides) under Homo sapiens (human). RNAcentral describes it as "HSALNT0324887". Lineage: Eukaryota; Metazoa; Chordata; Mammalia; Primates; Hominidae. The record is from RNAcentral.
GGUCGCCGCGGCAGCCAGUGAUGCCCGAGCGGCGGGUUCCCAGGCCCAGGUGUGGGCGCCACCGCCCACCAUGCGCCAAGCCCAGAGCCUGGUUGAAUCGUUCGCCACCUUGUCUACCCAUUUUGGCCAUUAUCCUGCCACCUCCAAAUCCUGUUUUUGACACUUCUCGGGAGAGAGAGAAAACGGAAAGAUAAAGGAAUAAACUCCUCGUGGUCGUAGUUAGUGGGUAAAUUCAGAUCUCGUUUGAACCGAGGUUUUUCUUAUCUCCAGCCACCGUAUCCACCACCACCAGAAUCGUCUUUUUAGUCAUCACAGCUGGUCGCCGUCAGUACCUUGUUCAGAAGCCUCUCGCAGCUUCCAUCGUGUGGUUAUACAAUCCAAAUUCCUUAUAAAGUCCAAAUUCAAGAGGAGGAAUGCACGUUUAGUUAAGUUAAUGUCUAGACCUUACCAGCCAAUUUCUAGCUCCUCAGUAUGGAAAUUGCAACUGAAAACACCCCUUCCAAAAAAAGCAGUCUGCAUUUUUCUCUGAGUUUUCUUCUCCAAAUUUCGCACCCCUGACCUUGCUUACACACUCUGGAUACCACCUGCUGUGGAGUGGCGGAAGCAGACAUCCAGCGAUAGCUAAGUUUCCUGUCGUUGACACCCAAGCAAGACAGGCGUGUACCUAACUGAGGACCUGCCGGUGAUAGAAGUCUCAGCUUUUCUCAGAGACAGAUGAGUCUUCCCUUUAAAUGCUGCAAAGUGCUGCAUAGUAGAUGUUAAAUGAAAGUCAGAAAGAAUCAAAUGUGCUGCAAAUAAUUGAAGUUCAACCCAAUGGAAAUAGAUUAAAAGAGUGAAAGUCACUGGUCUCAAAGAAUCUACGGAAUUCAGCAUUUUGGAAAUCACAUAGCAAUUUUGGGUAGGUAUUCACAUGCACUAAAAAACCAGGCAAACAUCCGACUCCCAGGAUAAAGUGACUGAGAGCAGUAGAAGACUUGUUGAGCCGUAAGGAAUAAGAGGAAAAUUAUGUUAUGAAGUGCAGGAACAGCACAGACCCAGACGAGGGGAUGCAGCCCAGAGCCAGUAACCCGGUGCCUCCUCCUCCCCAGGAAGCAGCGCUGGCUGAUCCCCAGAUACCAUGAUCACACCGUCCCAGGUCCUGAGAGCGCCUCAUAGGUAGACAGUUCUUUGGGACUUUUGGGACGCAGCACUUGAAGAGAGGUCUACCUAAACUUUCCUCCUGGGAGCCUGUGAUCAUUUGAAAGUAACAGAAGAAAGUUGUCAGGCUGAGGAAAGUUUCAACAGGCACUUGGUGAGAAUGGGAAGCAUCCAUUCAUUGCGAAAUCGCGGGGACAGAGGAGGAAUUCACGGGAUCAGAGCACUGAGAAACUCCAGAGGCUUCUGGUUCACCGCCCUGAUUCCACAGAUGUGGGUCAGAGGCAGAGAUGGAAGUUGGAAUGGACAAGCCUGCCCUCUCAUCGGCUCUCCAUGGCUCUGUCCUCAGGCUGUUUCUGCAAUUUGACAUGAGGCCUGGCCCCAGGGAAACCAGUGGGGCCUCAUCUCCUCCCUGUGCUGCUCUGAGAUGGAGUCUUCUCAGGGUCAGUCCAGCUCUGGAGCCCCUCUCCAGCUCGGUCACCAAAGCUGUCUGGUCCCAGGGCGGUGCUGAGUGACAGGCACACCAGCCAGUCCAAUUGGCCAUUUCAUACCCAAUGCAUGUGACUGAUAAAGAGAUAACACCCUGUCUCCAAGACACAGGCUUUACAUAAACAGCUUUAAUGACCUCUUCACCUAGAGACAAGACUCCUUAGUGGUGGAACCUCAGGCAUCCGUGCAGGAUGUAAGAAAGCUCCCGUAUAUACAUGAACUGAGAAGUGUGUAGAAGAAUAAAUACUGUAAUAGGUAAUAAAAUGUAUGUAUUUUUAUUUAUAUGCUA